RNAcentral lists this antisense RNA (88 nucleotides) under Escherichia coli. Its description in RNAcentral is "ArsR-gov region gene B". It matches the Rfam family "ArsR-gov region gene B". Rfam says of the family: arsR-gov region gene B is transcribed opposite of dinQ (translates into a toxic single transmembrane peptide) with 30 complimentary nucleotides. AgrB appears to repress accumulation of dinQ by RNA interference and counteracts its toxicity. Lineage: Bacteria; Pseudomonadati; Pseudomonadota; Gammaproteobacteria; Enterobacterales; Enterobacteriaceae. The record is from RNAcentral.
UCAGUUAUAGACAGUUCUUUUCCGACCAGAGCCACCCACUCUGUAACGGAACAGUAAAAAAACCGACCUCACCAGUCGGUUUUUUUAC